ACAUGGUACUGCUAUACCACAAAAGCUUCUAAAGUCUGCCUUGGCCCUCAGCCCAAAGCCCAUCUGUGUCUGGUUGGGAAGGCAGUUUUACUGCAGCUGUCAAACAGUGUGAACAAUAACCCAGCUUACUUCGGAAAUGGCACCAAACUCACAGUGCUAGAGCAUAAUAUUUCUGAACCGAAUCUUCACAUCCUCGAGCCGUCGAAGGAAGAGACUGUGAAGAAGAAGAGGGUGACCCUGGUGUGUCUGGCCACUGGUUUCUACCCGGACCACAUUCAUAUCACCUGGAAGAUCAAUGGCAAGGACAGAGAGAACGGGGUUAAAACAGACGAUCAUGCAACCAAGGACAAAAGCAAGAACACAUAUAGCAUCAGUAGCCGACUAAGACUGACUCCGAGAGAAUGGUUUAACCCUGAGAACAGCUUUGCCUGCUCUGCAAAGUUCUACAAGGGAAAUGGUUCCGAAUCUGUAACUCAUGAAAAACACAUUUCUGGAAAGGAAGGUUGCGUUGUCACUCCUGACUCCAUGAGCAAGGACUUGGGAGCAGCCCGGUUGACCUUCCUCCUCACUGUGUAUAAGAGCGUCCUGUACGGUCUGCUAGUGAUGGCGCUGGUGUGGAAGCUGAAGCCUAAAAGUGAGACUCGGUUUCAUUGAAAAGAGGAAUCCGUGUGAAAACCAGGGAAAUGCUUGCUGCCUGCAGACUCAAGUAUACAGCCAUGUGCACACAAAUCUUACCGUAGGAUUUAUAAACUGCUCAUUUUCACACUGUUGCAUCGUGUGCGUGUGCGUGCAUGUGUGCGUGCGUGUGUGUGUGUGCGUGUGUGUGCGUGUGUGGGCAGGUAUUACUAUCAAUGUGGGGACAAAAUUUGAGAAAAUGUCCCCACAAAGACAGCAUCUCCUGAAAAAACGACGUUGCAGGGGCGAGCCCACUUUGCAAAACACCUUUUUAAGAACUAAAUAUGCUGUUCAAAAAAGCAACUGAAAGUGGCAAAAUAUUUUGUUUGUUGUCGACUUUCUCCCUGUGUGGAGUUUUGUGUGACUGGAGUUAGGAACAGUAAAUAAAAAUAUAGUGAGAGUCAAUGAGACGACCUCACAAGUACAGGAAAACAAACCUGUGUGUGUGUGUGUGUGUGUGUGGAGAAGAGGGGAUGAGGGAGAGAGGUAUACAGAAAUAUAUAGCAGCAUUUCCAAUGCUAUAAUGAAGUAAAACUGCACAAUCAUGUUGUCAUUUUUUAGUGCUGCUGCAAGUACACUUUUCUUUGUAUUUACAUUUUAUGCCUUAUGCUUCUGUUCUCCCUGUGUACUUAAUAAACUGUGU
This is a non-coding RNA of Polyodon spathula (Mississippi paddlefish), 1318 nucleotides long. NCBI's taxonomy places the organism in Eukaryota, Metazoa, Chordata, Actinopteri, Acipenseriformes, Polyodontidae. The record is from the annotation of a RefSeq genome assembly.